RNAcentral lists this ribosomal RNA (1023 nucleotides) under Triticum aestivum (bread wheat). RNAcentral describes it as "partial small subunit ribosomal RNA". The record is from RNAcentral. Lineage: Eukaryota; Viridiplantae; Streptophyta; Magnoliopsida; Poales; Poaceae.
AUGACUCAGCUCCAAGCUGCUCCGCUCAAAACCCUAAGCUUUUCCGGCGCGGCGGUGCGGCCGCGGCAUGCGACGGCGACGUGCCGGUGCUCGGCCGCGGACCGGAGCUACAGCAUUACGCUCCUCCCGGGCGACGGCAUCGGCCCGGAGGUGGUCGCCGUCGCCAAGGACGUCCUCUCCGUCGCCGGCGCCAAGGAAGGCGUGGAGCUCCGGUUCCGGGAGAUGCUGAUGGGCGGCGCGGCGCUGGACGCCGUCGGGGUGCCGCUCCCCGACGAGACGCUGGCGGCGGCGCGGGCCUCCGACGCCGUCCUGCUCGGCGCGAUAGGAGGGUAUAGGUGGGAUAACAAUGAGAAGCAUCUCAAGCCCGAGACCGGGCUGCUCAACAUCCGUGCCGGGCUCGGUGUGUUUGCCAAUCUGCGCCCAGCCACCGUGUUGCCGCAGAUCGAUCGUAUUGCACGUGUUGCAUUUGAGGUUGCCCGCAAGAGAGGAGGGAAACUAUGCUCGGUGGACAAAGCGAAUGUUCUUGAGGCAUCUAUGCUUUGGAGGAAGAGGGUCACUGCAAUAGCUUCUGAAUUCCCUGAUGUUGAGCUGUCACACAUGUAUGUUGAUAAUGCUUCGAUGCAGCUUGUUUGGAAUCCUAAACAGUUUGACACAAUUGUAACGAACAAUAGUUAUGGUGACAUAUUGUCGGACGAAGCAUCCAUGAUCACAGGAAGCAUUGGAAUGCUCCCAUCUGCUAGUGUUGGUGAAUCGGGACCGGGUCUAUUCGAACCUAUCCAUGGCUCUGCCCCUGACAUUGCUGGGCAGGACAAGGCAAACCCGCUAGCUACAAUUCUUAGUGCUGCGAUGCUACUGAAAUAUGGCCUCGGUGCUGAAAAUGCUGCCAAGAGAAUCGAAACCGCGGUUACGGAGACAUUGGACAAUGGGUUCCGAACAGGGGACAUAUAUUCUCCUGGAACGACACUGGUCGGGUGUAAGCGAAUGGGUGAGGAGGUCCUGAAGGCUCUGGAGUCGCAGAAGUAA